UAGGGAAUCUUCGGCAAUGGGGGGAACCCUGACCGAGCAACGCCGCGUGAGUGAAGAAGGUUUUCGGAUCGUAAAGCUCUGUUGUUAAGGAAGAACGAGUGUGAGAAUGGAAAGUUCAUGCUGUGACGGUACUUAACCAGAAAGGGACGGCUAACUACGUGCCAGCAGCCGCGGUAAUACGUAGGUCCCGAGCGUUGUCCGGAUUUAUUGGGCGUAAAGCGAGCGCAGGCGGUUAGAAAAGUCUGAAGUGAAAGGCAGUGGCUCAACCAUUGUAGGCUUUGGAAACUGUUUAACUUGAGUGCAGAAGGGGAGAGUGGAAUUCCAUGUGUAGCGGUGAAAUGCGUAGAUAUAUGGAGGAACACCGGUGGCGAAAGCGGCUCUCUGGUCUGUAACUGACGCAGAGGCUCGAAAGCGUGGGGAGCGAACAGG
RNAcentral lists this ribosomal RNA (429 nucleotides) under Bacteroidota bacterium. RNAcentral describes it as "Bacteroidetes bacterium partial 16S ribosomal RNA". It matches the Rfam family "Bacterial small subunit ribosomal RNA", at positions 355 to 776 of the family's 1533-position model. Lineage: Bacteria; Pseudomonadati; Bacteroidota. The record is from RNAcentral.